CGGCGGCCUAAACAUGGCAAGUCGAACGAACUCUUCGGAGUUAGUGGCGGACGGGUGAGUAACACGUGGGAACGUGCCUUUAGGUUCGGAAUAACUCAGGGAAACUUGUGCUAAUACCGAAUGUGCCCUUCGGGGGAAAGAUUUAUCGCCUUUAGAGCGGCCCGCGUCUGAUUAGCUAGUUGGUGAGGUAAAGGCUCACCAAGGCGACGAUCAGUAGCUGGUCUGAGAGGAUGAUCAGCCACAUUGGGACUGAGACACGGCCCAAACUCCUACGGGAGGCAGCAGUGGGGAAUCUUGCGCAAUGGGCGAAAGCCUGACGCAGCCAUGCCGCGUGAAUGAUGAAGGUCUUAGGAUUGUAAAAUUCUUUCACCGGGGACGAUAAUGACGGUACCCGGAGAAGAAGCCCCGGCUAACUUCGUGCCAGCAGCCGCGGUAAUACGAAGGGGGCUAGCGUUGCUCGGAAUUACUGGGCGUAAAGGGAGCGUAGGCGGACAUUUAAGUCAGGGGUGAAAUCCCGGGGCUCAACCUCGGAAUUGCCUUUGAUACUGGGU
This 551-nucleotide ribosomal RNA is filed under the name Brevundimonas vesicularis. RNAcentral describes it as "bacterial SSU rRNA". It matches the Rfam family "Bacterial small subunit ribosomal RNA", at positions 40 to 638 of the family's 1533-position model. Lineage: Bacteria; Pseudomonadati; Pseudomonadota; Alphaproteobacteria; Caulobacterales; Caulobacteraceae. The record is from RNAcentral.